Molecule: non-coding RNA, 24 nt
Filed under: Cricetulus griseus (Chinese hamster)
Lineage: Eukaryota; Metazoa; Chordata; Mammalia; Rodentia; Cricetidae
Source: RNAcentral
UAGAGAGCAUAGCAACCACCCUGG